RNAcentral lists this RNase P RNA (349 nucleotides) under Clostridiaceae bacterium. RNAcentral's name for it is "RNase P RNA component class A". It matches the Rfam family "Bacterial RNase P class A". From Rfam's summary of the family: Ribonuclease P (RNase P) is a ubiquitous endoribonuclease, found in archaea, bacteria and eukarya as well as chloroplasts and mitochondria. Its best characterised activity is the generation of mature 5'-ends of tRNAs by cleaving the 5'-leader elements of precursor-tRNAs. Lineage: Bacteria; Bacillati; Bacillota; Clostridia; Eubacteriales; Clostridiaceae. The record is from RNAcentral.
UGAGUAAGCCAGAUGGUCGCGUGUGCAUCGCCCAAAGGCAGCACAUGAGGAAAGUCCGGGCUCCAAAGGGCAGGGUGCCGGGUAACCCCCGGUCAAGGCGACUUGAAGGAAAGUGCAACAGAAAUAAACCGCCUUCCGCGAAGGAAGGUAAGGGUGGAAAGGUGAGGUAAGAGCUCACCGGUUUCCUGGCGACAGGAAACGCUCUGUAAACCCCACCUGGAGCAACACCGUGGAAAAGGAUCAAUGGCAGCCCAGCCGAUCCUCGGAGGUGGCUUGAGCCUCGUAGUAAUACCAGGCCUAGAUAGAUGAUCAUCAAAUACAGAACCCGGCUUACAGGCUUACUCAAAAU